AUUGAACGCUGGCGGCAGGCCUAACACAUGCAAGUCGAGCGGAUGAAGGGAGCUUGCUCCUGGAUUCAGCGGCGGACGGGUGAGUAAUGCCUAGGAAUCUGCCUGGUAGUGGGGGAUAACGUCCGGAAACGGGCGCUAAUACCGCAUACGUCCUGAGGGAGAAAGUGGGGGAUCUUCGGACCUCACGCUAUCAGAUGAGCCUAGGUCGGAUUAGCUAGUUGGUGGGGUAAAGGCCUACCAAGGCGACGAUCCGUAACUGGUCUGAGAGGAAGAUCAGUCACACUGGAACUGAGACACAGUACAGACUCCUACGGUAAGCAGCAGUGGGGAAUAUUCGACAAUGGGCGAAGGCCUGAUCCAGCCAUGCCGCGUGUGUGCAGAAGGUCUUAGGAUUGUAAAGCACUUUAAGGUGGGAGGAAGGGCAGUAAGUUAAUACCUUGCUGUUUUGACGUUACCAACAGAAUAAGCACCGGCUAACUUCGUG
This 484-nucleotide ribosomal RNA is filed under the name uncultured bacterium. RNAcentral's name for it is "partial 16S ribosomal RNA". It matches the Rfam family "Bacterial small subunit ribosomal RNA", at positions 30 to 507 of the family's 1533-position model. The record is from RNAcentral.